Molecule: long non-coding RNA, 4842 nt
Filed under: Cricetulus griseus (Chinese hamster)
Lineage: Eukaryota; Metazoa; Chordata; Mammalia; Rodentia; Cricetidae
Description: lncRNA (ENSCGRG00015038647.1)
Source: RNAcentral
CCAGGUGGUUUAUUCCAAAUACCAAGGCUUUAACUGUCUUUUGUUAAAACAACAACAAAAUAAAACAGAAGUCUAAAGCUUCUUUAUUUUCCAAUAACUAAAAGAAACAUUGGUUUUAUGGAUACACUGUAGUAACAAUAACUGGUGCAUUGAGACAGCAAGAGUGUCCACAGUAUAUACUGGUACAGGGUACAUAGAGAACAGAUUGCAGUAGGGGCAAUGAAAUUUGCAGUUUUAAAGAAUGUGAAACUGACCUACUGAGUCCAUCUUAUCAUGAACAUAUCACAGUACUGGGUAUUUACUAUGCAUGGUAGAGAACUGUGUAGUACCCAGAAGGGAGAAUGAUUUGAAAAGUGACACAACACAAUACCUUUUUAGCUAUGGACAUUAUGUCUGUUUUUAAAUAAGAAGAGAAGACAAAGAUGCAGAGGUUCUGUGACUGGCAGCCUGGAGUAGUUAUCCUAACUGGUCAGCUCUGGUAGUAUUAAAAGGUGGGGCAAGACCAUGCUUAUUUUUCCCAGAGAAAGGUCAGGGGGAAGGGGCCGGUGCAUAAAUCACAGGACCAUCAGAAGGACACAGGGUCUUACCCCAAGGAAUCCUGAGAGGCUGAAGACAAUCAAUGGCCAGAUGCUCCAGAGAGCUGGAACACCACAAAAACAGGGUGAAAAAUGCUAAGUCCCUCUGCACAGAGAGGUAAGUAAGACCAUGUGGUCAUUACUUAACAUAUUCCAAAUUAUUCUAAGAGAUAGAAUGAGGGAAAUGAGAAAACCCCAGUCCUACUCAUUUCAUCUCAUUAGCACAGAGAUAUCAGCACGUGGUUGGUAUCAAGAAAGAGGUGGGAACUUAUUUAUUGCCAAAGAUUUCACAGAAUGAAAGCACUGAAUAAGACUGGAAAAGCCUUCUGAUUACUAAUAAUAUUAUAAAUAUUCUAGAAAGAAAAAUAGGAGGUAACAUUUCAAAUAUAGAAUAUGGUAAGUCAUGAGCCAAGUAGUCUUCCAUUAACCAAGAAGGCUUAGAAAUUCAAGGAAGUUUUCCAGUGAAAUGAAACUAUGAGGACUAUGAAAAUAUCAGCUCUGAACUGUGGUAUAUUUAUAUGACAAUAAAGAAUGGGUAAUAAGCAUCAUUCAUCCAUCAUCAGAGAAGCUUCCUCCUGCUGCAGAUGGGAAUAAAUAUAGACAUUAUCCAGAGAGAGAGAGGGGGGGUGAGCUAGGGUUGUUCUGAGUGAAGGACUGUACUGCUUCCAUUCAUUGGGAAUAUUUUCAAGCUUCCUUGCCAGUACAGCCAGUGACAGCACAGAUCAUUGACUUCCACAUGGCUUCAGGGAGCAGCAUGGACUAUGGACACCAACAUGGCAUGGAGAUACAGCACAGUCUGUGGAGGUUUUUUGAGGAGGCCCAAUCCAGUAUAUGAAACACUCUCCAUCUCCAUUAGUGUGAGCUUCUGCAGCUCUGGUUUCACUUCUCUCUGGCCUGGCAAGGAGCUCUGCUCUGCCAUCUGUCACCACCUCCUCCUCUUCCUCUCCCUCUUCCUCCUCCCUCCUGCUCUUCCUCCUCCUCCUUCUAAUUUCAUGAGACUGCUUUUAAAAAGCAUCUUCCCAUAAGACCUGAUUUUUUAGUUGUUUUGGAGAUACUGUGCUCUCUAAGACUCACCCUCUACUCCCUCAUCUCCCCUCUGAGCCCCCAUGGGUCUCUAAGUCUCCAUGUUCUAUGGAUGCCAAUAGCCACUGUCAUCUUGAAAUUAUCUCCAUUUGAAAUUCUUAAAACUUUUUAUUUUCUCCAAUCUUUUCAAUUAAAAUUGUUUUUAAAUGUCACUCUGGCCGGGCAUUGGCGGCACACGCCUUUAAUCCCAGCACUCGGUAGGUAGAGGCAGGCGGAUCUCUUUUAGUUCAAGGCCAGCGUGGUCUACAGAGUGAGUGCCAGGAUAGGUUCCAAAGCUACACAGAGAAACCCUGUCUCAAAAAACCAAAACAACAAAAAAUGUGUCACUCUGCAAUGCAGGUUGUAACUACAACCUCAGGCACUGAAUUGCAAGAUUAAUAGUCUAUAUCUCCAUGGCCAUAGUGGCCAUAGUUUAGCAAUACAUAAAUUAACAUUGAUUAUAAGAGAAGGAAAGUAUCUGCUUUCCUAACUACUUGCAUAUCUGGUGACAGGCAAUAUUUUGAAACCCUGGCUUACAGACCCAUAUAGCUGUCCAGGUAUUACACAAACUUUCACUGCUUCCCUAAAUGAGUAAGUCUCAUUGCUGCUGAAAAGAAUGUUCUUUUGCCUAUAAUCAUAUGUGUAAAUUUUAAAGACUUGGUACCUUUUUCUAUUGUAAACUAUUGAACCUCACUUUUUGCUCCCUAGUGGUCAUGUCUCAACUCUUCUUUAUAGUAGCAGUGAGAUCACAGAAAACAAGCCACUUCUGUGAGCAGUUUGACUUUAGAAUACAUUGCAAUUCUUCUCUCAAGCAUCCCGACUCCCUAGAAAGCUUUCAAAACAGGCUUGUGUAAUGCUGUGGCCACAGACCUUUAUUUCCUUUGUUGCUUCUCAGCCUUAGUUCCUAGAAUCCUUAUCUAGCAGGAAUUAAGUUUUCCUGGCUCAUUGUCACUCAAAUGCCCUUGAAGACUUGAGUAUCAUAGGUACUAAUUAAAUUAUUGAGGGCACACCAUCACAAAUCCUUUUUUUUCUACCUAAGAUUGCAUUAUGGAAGGCAUGAGCAGUGUUUCCUCCAAGCUGGGGUGCUCCCUAAUUGCUUUGGUGAUACCAGGAGAAGCCUGUGUGGUAAUUGCUGGGUUUAUGCUUAUGCACAACCCUCUGAUGGGUGCAAAAUCACUCAUAGCUAGAAUCCUCUAGUGUUCCUCUCAAUAAACAGGCUGUUUGUAAGAUCUUCUCCUUAAGUUAAUUGCUAUUCAAGGACUCCUUGACUUUGUUUUCAAGGGGCACAGACAUCCCUAGUCCCUACUCUAUCACUUUACUACAAUAGUAAGGGGAUCCUAGGCCGGGUAUGUUCACUAAAUUUAUUGAGCUGAAUCACCACAUAUAGUGUUUUAUUUACUCUAAUUUGUUUAGUAAGAGCUUUGUCACACACACACACACACACACACACACACACACACACACACACACACACACACACACACACACACUGUAGACAGUAGAAUGACAGGAUGGCAGGAAAGCAGAGAAUGUUUCUGGUUUCCCCAUCCUUUCUUUUCUGUCUUAGAACAGGAGCACCAUCUACAGAUAUAGGGAUAUAACUCCUCUACCCCAAGAGCAGUUCCAAGUUUUAAUUUCUCUAGGGCUAAAUAUUGAGGUCAGCAAUAAAGUUCCCAGGGAAACAUACAUCAAAAUGAAGAAGGACCUGGUAAAGAUAGCAGCAGACCUCCAAAAACAAGGCCUCACAGAAGCAUUUGCGGUGUUCUACAAAUUUUCAACUUGAGAACUCUUGCCCCUAGAAAAAAAGAUCCAAAAUCCUCAACAUGUGUCUUGAUUGUCUAUGUGCCUGACCUAAAUUCUCCAGAGCAACAGGGAGCUACUCAUAGAAAUGUCACAGAUCCUGAUCCUGGGUGGGAGGGGAGCUGAUGCUGCCUCAGCAUCACAGUACAGAGGAAAUGGAUCAGGACAGGGCUUCAAGUCAUGCAUAAGAUACUGGUGCCACUCCCCAUGUGUUUUCUUCCCCUCUUUUCUGACAUUAGGACUGUUCUAAUUCUCCAUUUCAUUUUGCCUUGCAAUAAAUAAAGACAAUAAAUAGGGUCACUGAAAGAGCUGAGACCCUGAAGAAUAAACUCCUGACGCAGUACAGCAAGGAGUAUGCAGGAUACCUGACACAUAAGGUCAGUGUGUGAGCAUGAAGACAGGAGGUUUCUAUGUCACCUAGUCAUCCUGUGUCCUGGGAGUGUGUUGUGUGGUUUCAGCGGAAUCUGUGUUCAAUGGAUAUGUUCCACACUCACUUGAACACAAUCCAUCUAUAUCCAUACAAGCCAACACACAUACACCCCCCCCCACACACACACACACACACACACACACACACACACACACACACACACACACACACACACACACACACAGGGCAGGGAGGAGACUGAGAAUUAGUUGUUACCGAAGACAGAUAUAUAGCAACAGAGUAAGGUGUUUGUGGUUGUUUCCCAUAGUAUGAGGGUUAUGAAAGCAAGCAUGGACCCUAUGCUGAUAUGUCAGAUCUGAACACUACACUUUGUCCAUCUCUUUGCUGAAAAUGCAUUUUCCUCUGAGAAUUGAAGUGUUAGCCUAACACAGGUUUCUCUUUCUGUAGAAGGAAAGAGAAGAGGAGGAGGCAAAAACAUUGCAUUCUGGGAGGAUAUAAGAAACACCAUCAAAAACUUCCCAAACUUUGCCAAAUAGAGUUCUCUUCUGGAUAGACUGGUGGAUGGAGGUGAUCAACGUAGAAGUGGAGAAGUGGGCUCAGCCUGGCAUUGACAUCUGAAAGGCUGAAGAAUCUUCAGACCGAAGCAUUCCUAUUAAACCAUUAGUGGUGCGUGGCCCACAGAAAGCCUUUGAAGAGAUCACCCCAACAUAUCAUCAGACACACAUUGUGGGGAGACUAAGAUGGUGGAAAGCCCAGCAUUAGGUAGACCUUCUUAGGAAAUCCUCAGUAGAUCAUGGAGAUAAUAACACUGACUGAAGUGCUAGCUGUGACAGUGUUGGAACCUGUGAUGGACUCCCCAGAAAGCAGCGGACAACUGGAUAUGGAUAUUCAAAGUUCUCUUCAGGUGAGUGUGAUGGAAAAAAAUCACUAAAGGACAUAAACGUUUAGGUUGUGAUAAAGAAAGAGAGAGCUCUCUGAUCAUGGAAUACUUGACCAGAAGAAGCUCAAACCCAC